GUGGUUCACUUCUGUGUCACAUACACUGAAAUUGGAAUGAUACACAGAAGAUUAUCACAGCCCUUGCACAAAGAUGACACAAAAAUUUGUGAAGGGUUUCAUAAGGAA
Molecule: small nuclear RNA, 108 nt
Organism: Mustela putorius furo (domestic ferret)
Lineage: Eukaryota; Metazoa; Chordata; Mammalia; Carnivora; Mustelidae
Source: Ensembl